CUCUUAUGGAGAGUUUGAUCCUGGCUCAGGACGAACGCUGGCGGCAUGCCUAAUACAUGCAAGUC
Molecule: ribosomal RNA, 65 nt
Filed under: Sporosarcina sp. P20a
Lineage: Bacteria; Bacillati; Bacillota; Bacilli; Caryophanales; Caryophanaceae
Description: partial 16S ribosomal RNA
Rfam family: Bacterial small subunit ribosomal RNA
Source: RNAcentral